UCCUUCUUCCUAGAUACUCCUGGAAGGGGUGUGGGGGGAAAACUCCCAGAGUGUCGUGGCUGUGGAUGACCUCUCCAUAGAAGCUGGAGAUUGCCCAGCUUCCUCCAUUCGAUGCGAUUUCUCUUGCUCUUUUGACCUGGACUUCUGCUCCUGGAAACCGUUGGCCUCCAACGUCUUUAACUGGACUCGGCACCAAGGCCCAACGCCCUCGUCCAACACGGGACCAUCCUCCGACCACACUUCAGGAGAGGGCCAUUUUAUCUACCUGGACGGCAGUGCUACCAACACAGGGGACAUAACGCACCUGGUCAGCCCCGUCUGUAACUCCUCCAGGCCCCAUUGCCUCCGCUUCUGGUAUCACAUGUACGGGGCAGCUCGAACAAUGGCGCUGCGCAUUUUAGUCGUCUCCGGCGGCGCCGCGCCUGUGCUGCUCUGGAGUCAAACCGGGAACAAAGGGGACCAGUGGCACAGAGGUGAAGUCAAUGUGGCUCAUG
This is a long non-coding RNA of Lacerta agilis (Sand lizard), 494 nucleotides long. RefSeq lists it as uncharacterized. The record is from RefSeq and is a predicted model, not a curated record. NCBI's taxonomy places the organism in Eukaryota, Metazoa, Chordata, Lepidosauria, Squamata, Lacertidae. The transcript is spliced from 3 exons.